This 333-nucleotide ribosomal RNA is filed under the name Salmonella enterica. RNAcentral's name for it is "partial 23S ribosomal RNA". It matches the Rfam family "Bacterial large subunit ribosomal RNA", at positions 1 to 368 of the family's 2925-position model. The record is from RNAcentral. RNAcentral also lists the same sequence under 3 other names. Lineage: Bacteria; Pseudomonadati; Pseudomonadota; Gammaproteobacteria; Enterobacterales; Enterobacteriaceae.
GAGGUUAAGCGACUAAGCGUACACGGUGGAUGCCCUGGCAGUCAGAGGCGAUGAAGGGCGUGCUAAUCUGCGAUAAGCGCCGGUAAGGUGAUAUGAACCGUUAUAACCGGCGAUACCCGAAUGGGGAAACCCAGUGUGACUCGUCACACUAUCAUUAACUGAAUCCAUAGGUUAAUGAGGCGAACCGGGGGAACUGAAACAUCUAAGUACCCCGAGGAAAAGAAAUCAACCGAGAUUCCCCCAGUAGCGGCGAGCGAACGGGGAGGAGCCCAGAGCCUGAAUCAGCAUGUGUGUUAGUGGAAGCGUCUGGAAAGGCGCGCGAUACAGGGUGAC